RNAcentral lists this unclassified non-coding RNA (205 nucleotides) under uncultured Piloderma. RNAcentral's name for it is "sequence contains ITS1". Lineage: Eukaryota; Fungi; Basidiomycota; Agaricomycetes; Atheliales; Atheliaceae. The record is from RNAcentral.
UUGAGUUGUUUACACCUAGAAGGGUUGUUGCUGGCCUCUUGGGGCAAUGUGCACACCUCUGGGUGAUUCAUCCACACACACCUGUGAACCUGUUUGUGGGAUGCCUCUUCGGGGGUUACCUCCCAUGUUUAUAUUGCACACGCACUUUUUAGUAUGUCCCUAGAGUGUUAAAGCUGCUGAGAAGGCAGUUUUGAAUAUGUAUAUA